Salvia miltiorrhiza (redroot sage) is the source of this 854-nucleotide long non-coding RNA. RefSeq lists it as uncharacterized. The transcript has 3 exons. The record is from RefSeq and is a predicted model, not a curated record. Lineage: Eukaryota; Viridiplantae; Streptophyta; Magnoliopsida; Lamiales; Lamiaceae.
AGUUCCGAUAAUUUAAAUGAACCGUUCCUAUCGCUCUGAACGUGUGAAAACCGUUCCGAUUCCCUCUCCUUUUCUGAAAACUUGCACAAACGGUUUCACAAACUGAUCGUCUGAAAAUUCUCAUUCUUCGACUUUAUAUUCUGCCAUCUUCUUUUCUUUUCACAACCAUUCAAAAGCUCUCAAAAAUUCUCUCUGUUUAAGUUCUUCAAGUAUUCAAGUUUUAGCUGUUGCCAGGAAAUCAAGAAAUCUGGUGCGGCGCAAUUAGGAUCUCUAUCCCUGAGUUAAGCAUUAGUCAAGUUUACUACCAAGGAUUUGAGGCGAGGAGCAAGGAGAUGCGUGAUGGAUGUGUGUGGUGCUUAGGAUAUUUUAAUCAUGCUUUCUAUAGUGUUAUUAAAGACUCUUUAUGGGUUAAGGAAAAUUUGGGAUUUAAAGUUUAGUUUAUUUUGAUGGUAAAUUUUUAAGAGUUUCUAGUGAAUCAUAUUUGACUUUCUUAUAUAAUGUUAGGUACUUUGAUAAUUUAGUGUUAUGUUUUCUAUCUAAUGUGUAUGGUAUUUUUCUAAAAAUGAUAUUUGGUCGAUUUACUUUUGAUUAUUAGGUUCUCUACAGGGUUUUGAAAUUAGAUUAUUUGAGUUUGUUAAUAUUUUUACGAAAAUACUAUAUGAUAUUUAAUUAGAUCAAAGUUUAUAUUUAGGGUGUUACAAUCUAGCUAUGACUUUUGGCUCUACUAGCAUUUUGAGGUUACCUUUUGUAUGUACAUUGUAUAUGCCUCGAUGUAGUUUUUUGUUUAAUGUGAUAUGUAUAUAUAACGCGUAAUGUCUGAAAGGAUACUUGAAUAGUUUAUAUAUAAAUUAUGU